This 497-nucleotide ribosomal RNA is filed under the name uncultured bacterium. Its description in RNAcentral is "partial 16S ribosomal RNA". It matches the Rfam family "Bacterial small subunit ribosomal RNA", at positions 28 to 507 of the family's 1533-position model. The record is from RNAcentral.
GAUGAACGCUGGCGGCGUGCCUAAUACAUGCAAGUCGAGCGAACAGACGAGGAGCUUGCUCCUCUGACGUUAGCGGCGGACGGGUGAGUAACACGUGGAUAACCUACCUAUAAAACUGGGAUAAAUUCGGGAAACCGGAGCUAAUACCGGAUAAUAUAUUGAACAGCAUGGUUCAAUAGUGAAAGACGGUUUUGCUGUCACUUAUAGAUGGAUCCGCGCCGCAUUAGCUAGUUGGUAAGGUAACGGCUUACCAAGGCAACGAUGCGUAGCCGACCUGAGAGGGUGAUCGGCCACACUGGAACUGAGACACGGUCCAGACUCCUACGGGAGGCAGCAGUAGGGAAUCUUCCGCAAUGGGCGAAAGCCUGACGGAGCAACGCCGCGUGAGUGAUGAAGGUCUUCGGAUCGUAAAACUCUGUUAUUAGGGAAGAACAAAUGUGUGAGUAACUAUGCACGUCUUGACGGUACCUAAUCAGAAAGCCACGGCUAACUACGUG